GACGAACGCUGGCGGCGUGCUUAACACAUGCAAGUCGAACGGAAAGGCCCUGCUUUUGUGGGGUGCUCGAGUGGCGAACGGGUGAGUAACACGUGAGUAACCUGCCCUUGACUUUGGGAUAACUUCAGGAAACUGGGGCUAAUACCGGAUAGGAGCUCCUGCUGCAUGGUGGGGGUUGGAAAGUUUCGGCGGUUGGGGAUGGACUCGCGGCUUAUCAGCUUGUUGGUGGGGUAGUGGCUUACCAAGGCUUUGACGGGUAGCCGGCCUGAGAGGGUGACCGGCCACAUUGGGACUGAGAUACGGCGCAGACUCCUACGGGAGGCAGCAGUGGGGAAUAUUGCACAAUGGGCGGAAGCCUGAUGCAGCAACGCCGCGGGCGGGAUGACGGCCUUCGGGUUGUAAACCGCUUUCGCCUGUGACGAAGCGUGAGUGACGGUGAUGGGUAAAGAAGCACCGGCUAACUACGUG
RNAcentral lists this ribosomal RNA (468 nucleotides) under uncultured bacterium. RNAcentral's name for it is "partial 16S ribosomal RNA". It matches the Rfam family "Bacterial small subunit ribosomal RNA", at positions 28 to 507 of the family's 1533-position model. The record is from RNAcentral.